This 254-nucleotide ribosomal RNA is filed under the name uncultured bacterium. Its description in RNAcentral is "partial 16S ribosomal RNA". It matches the Rfam family "Bacterial small subunit ribosomal RNA", at positions 524 to 777 of the family's 1533-position model. The record is from RNAcentral.
GACGAACCGUGCGAACGUUGUUCGGAAUCACUGGGCUUAAAGGGCGCGUAGGCGGGCUGCCAAGUCUGGGGUGAAAUCCUCCGGCUCAACCGGAGAACGGCCUCGGAUACUGGCGGUCUCGAGGGAGGUAGGGGCGUGCGGAACUAAGGGUGGAGCGGUGAAAUGCGUAGAUAUCGGGAGGAACACCAGUGGCGAAGGCGACUACCUGGCCUGUUCUUGACGCUGAGGCGCGAAAGCUAGGGGAGCAAACGGGG